GACGAACGCUGGCGGCGUGCCUAAUACAUGCAAGUUGAGCGAUGAAGAUUGGUGCUUGCACCAAUUUGAAGAGCAGCGAACGGGUGAGUAACGCGUGGGGAAUCUGCCUUUGAGCGGGGGACAAAAUUUGGAAACGAAUGCUAAUACCGCAUAACAACUUUAAACAUAAGUUUUAAGUUUGAAAGAUGCAAUUGCAUCACUCAAAGAUGAUCCCGCGUUGUAUUAGCUAGUUGGUGAGGUAAAGGCUCACCAAGGCGAUGAUACAUAGCCGACCUGAGAGGGUGAUCGGCCACAUUGGGACUGAGACACGGCCCAAACUCCUACGGGAGGCAGCAGUAGGGAAUCUUCGGCAAUGGACGAAAGUCUGACCGAGCAACGCCGCGUGAGUGAAGAAGGGUUUCGGAUCGUAAAACUCUGUUGGUAGAGAAGAACGUUGGUGAGAGUGGAAAGCUCAUCAAGUGACGGUAACUACCCAGAAAGGGACGGCUAACUACGUG
Molecule: ribosomal RNA, 497 nt
Filed under: uncultured bacterium
Lineage: Bacteria
Description: partial 16S ribosomal RNA
Rfam family: Bacterial small subunit ribosomal RNA
Source: RNAcentral